UGACGUUCACUAUCAGCAAAUAUAAAAACAUGUCUACUAGGAUCAUGUACAAGGGAAAGCAUCUAAAGAAAGAAAGCAUUUGAGUUUUGGUCACCAUUCUUGCAUGGACAUUCAAGAAGGAAAAGAAGACAAGAAGAAUGUUGAUACCGGCCAAGCAGAAAGAUGGAGCACAGUGUAACAAACACAACUACAGCCACUAUUCCUCCUAUGAGAGCGUGAUCAGGGCCAUUCUGGCCAGCCAGAGAAUUGGGAUCUGGAAGAGAGCAAGGAAAAUCAUUUUAGUUAGUUAGUUCCUUUCUCCGGAACACACCUGUAACUAGAAUGAGUCAUUUUGAAGUAGCAUAUUUCUAUUAAAAUGAAAUUAUAUU
Onychomys torridus (southern grasshopper mouse) is the source of this 368-nucleotide long non-coding RNA. RefSeq lists it as uncharacterized. Lineage: Eukaryota; Metazoa; Chordata; Mammalia; Rodentia; Cricetidae. The record is from RefSeq and is a predicted model, not a curated record. The transcript is spliced from 3 exons.